GUGGGGAAUUUUGGACAAUGGGCGCAAGCCUGAUCCAGCAAUGCCGCGUGCAGGACGAAGGCCUUCGGGUUGUAAACUGCUUUUGUACGGAGCGAAAAGGCUCUCUCUAAUACAGGGAGUUCAUGACGGUACCGUAAGAAUAAGCACCGGCUAACUACGUGCCAGCAGCCGCGGUAAUACGUAGGGUGCAAGCGUUAAUCGGAAUUACUGGGCGUAAAGCGUGCGCAGGCGGUUAUGUAAGACAGAGGUGAAAUCCCCGGGCUCAACCUGGGAACUGCCUUUGUGACUGCAUAGCUAGAGUACGGCAGAGGGGGAUGGAAUUCCGCGUGUAGCAGUGAAAUGCGUAGAUAUGCGGAGGAACACCGAUGGCGAAGGCAAUCCCCUGGGCCUGUACUGACGCUCAUGCACGAAAGCGUGGGGAGCAAACAGGAUUAGAAACCCCUGUAGUCC
Molecule: ribosomal RNA, 450 nt
Filed under: uncultured bacterium
Lineage: Bacteria
Description: bacterial SSU rRNA
Rfam family: Bacterial small subunit ribosomal RNA
Source: RNAcentral